GAGCGCGGCGGAGCCGCAGGGCGCCGGGCUGCGCUUCGCCGAGCGGGAGCUGAGGCGGCACGGAUGGACGCGGGGCCGCGGGCUGGGGAAGCGGGAGGACGGCAUCGCGCGGCCCAUCCGCCCGAGCGUCAAGUGCGGCACCGCGGGGGUGGGGCACGACGCUGCCGAGCAGUUCUCCUUCCACUGGUGGGAUCACGUCUUCAACGAGGCGGCGGCCAACAUCGCCGUGCGGGACGGGCAGGU
Centrocercus urophasianus (Greater sage-grouse) is the source of this 243-nucleotide long non-coding RNA. RefSeq lists it as uncharacterized. The record is from RefSeq and is a predicted model, not a curated record. Lineage: Eukaryota; Metazoa; Chordata; Aves; Galliformes; Phasianidae. The transcript has 3 exons.